RNAcentral lists this transfer RNA (73 nucleotides) under Candidatus Altarchaeales archaeon. RNAcentral's name for it is "tRNA-Gln". It matches the Rfam family "tRNA". From Rfam's summary of the family: Transfer RNA (tRNA) molecules are approximately 80 nucleotides in length. Their secondary structure includes four short double-helical elements and three loops (D, anti-codon, and T loops). Lineage: Archaea; Nanobdellati; Candidatus Altarchaeota; Candidatus Altarchaeia; Candidatus Altarchaeales. The record is from RNAcentral.
AGCCCCGUAGGGUAGUGGCCAAUCCUAGCGGUCUUUGGAACCGCGGACCCAGGUUCGAAUCCUGGCGGGGCUA